RNAcentral lists this long non-coding RNA (4366 nucleotides) under Nicotiana benthamiana. RNAcentral's name for it is "long non-coding RNA (NBEN_LNC031690)". The record is from RNAcentral. Lineage: Eukaryota; Viridiplantae; Streptophyta; Magnoliopsida; Solanales; Solanaceae.
GUUGCUACCCCCUAACCUUAAAGGUCUUCUUCUUCUGGAUACCAACAUUACACAACAAAACCAUACAGAACACCUCUAAGCAGCGAUCUUCAUUGAGAAAGCCUUGAAGAUAUGGAAAAAACCCUAAAAUACACCCAUCGUCACCAUCCUGGCAAAGAACGCCGCCAGCCCUAACCCUAAUCUCCAUAGACGCUGCCUUACACCACCAGUAGCCUAGCCGCCAUCAACCCCUUAAUCUGAACAACUAAGAACACCAGCGAAGAGACCCUUGUCGCCAGACCUCUCAUGCCGCUGACCAACUCCACGCCGGCAACCACUCACUUCAACGUCGACGUCCAACUCCACAUCCCUCGUCAGCCAUUAACGAACCCCACCAGCACUCACUGAAAACCAGUCGCCCAACCCCAUAACGCUGGCGACCACAUACACACAACGACAGCACAAAACCUGACGGUGAAGCUCCAAAACCAGUUGCUAUUUUCUCCAUAGAUCUGGACCUUUAAAUUCUAGUAUUACAACUCAUUCUUCAAGGAAUAACACAAUAGCAAAGCUAUCAAAUUCAGCAGUUGUAGUUCCCCAUUCACUCCCAAUACAAUUCCAAACAGUCAUUGAUUCAUGUUCAAAAUACAUCGGAGUCGAUCCAAGGAAUGCGCGGAGUUACGAGGUUUUCCGGUGAGUUUUCCAUGUUAUAGUCACGGUUCUGCUCGUUGAGUUCGGGUUUGUUUUGCAACUUUGGAUCCGUCAAUAGAAGGUCCAAUUAUUUAUUUGCUACUCCAUAUUUCUCAAUAUGAUGUAUGUGUUCAUGACUUAGUUCUGACUUGUGUGAUGUUCCUCUCUUUUGAAAUGAUCUGAAGUUAUCGCACUACCAUAUCUUAGUGAAUAUUCAGAAGUCAAAUUGGCCAUUUUAUUUAAUCACAGGGAUGAAUCAUAAUUUGGGAUAAAUAACACAAAUAACAAGCUAUUAGUUUAAACAACAACAACAACAACUAGUACCCAGUAUACUCCCACCAGGUGGGGUCUGGGGAGGGUAAUAUGUAGACAGCCUUACCCCUANNNNNNNNNNNNNNNNNNNNNNNNNNNNNNNNNNNNNNNNNNNNNNNNGGGUAAUAUGUAGACAGCCUUACCCCUACCCGAAAGGGCAGGGAGGCUGCUUCCAAUCGACCCUCGGCGCAUAGGAUAGAAUGAAAAGCUGCAUUGGAACAAAGACAAAAUUAGGUACCAAAGCAAGACAAAACAAAAUAAUACAACAUAAGUAAUCCCGCAGAGAUAACGUAUAUAAUUAUAUAAACAUAAGAAACAUAAAUACAGUCGCAUGCAAUAAUAACAAGCAGUUACUACCAUACUAACAACCAAAAGGGGACCUAAGCUAAAACACUAGUCAUCUAUGGUAACCCUACUAUCCCACACCCAACCCCGGGAGAGGCGAACGAAGGACUCUAUGAGCCCCUAGCCUGCAACCCUGAUUCUAGACCUCCAGACUCCCACCCGGGAGAGGUGAACGAAGGACUCUACAAAUAACAAGCUAUUAGUUUAGUUGAAUAAAAAAUGCAAUAGGAUUGUAAAUCGAAGAAAUGCAUAGCUGGGUUUACUGUUAAGUUCUUUAAUGUUCCUAUUUCGUUAUUACUAGUUACUUAUUAAAUGCUAGGAGCAUGCUAGGUCAUCAAUAUUUGGUAGGUAAGACCUAGAAUUUUGUUAGUUUGGAGGCGAGGGUCAUUCCCUAAGUUAAAUUAUCCCCUGGAAUGCCUUAAGGGAUUUGUAUAUAUUUUAUUUUAGGAGUAUUCCCCGAAGUGAAUGUAAUUGGCGGCCGAAAGCGAACUCGUAGUACUUUUAUUCUUGAUUUAUAUUUAUUUUAUUUUAUUAGAUGGGGACGACCUCAAACCUCUUUUAAUUGCUUAUUUUCUUUUUAUGUGUCAUUACCUCAAUUCGAAUAUUCUAAAAGCCGAUUAAAUCAAGUAUGCAACCGUACUAGUUACGGGACUUGGGGAGUGCCUAACUCCUUCUUCCUGAGUCAAAUGAACCCUUUUAUCCUAAUCUCUGGUGUAGACUUAGUCCUAGAGUAGAAGUGUUUUAAAAGGAAAAGUUAUUUUUUUAAAACGGUGACAUGGCACAUCGAAAUCAAAUGUCAGGUGGCGACUCUGAGUUAUUUCCUUUUUGAACAUAAUUUUUCUUCACUUUUAAAAUUGAAAAAUCCUUUUCGAGCUUUAUUAAAUUCUUUUAUUAACUUAAGAGGGUUAAGUGAGGUUGUUUAAAAAAAGGGGUAUGACAUCUCUGACGACUCUGUUGGGGGCUUGCAGGUUCGAGCUAGUACUUGAUCUUGUUGGCUUUUAGAAUAUUAGGUUGAGGUUUUUAUGUGUUUUGUUUGCUUUAUUUGAUUUAUUUUUGUUUAUGUCUUUUUAUUAUUUGCUAAUUGCUUAUUUGUUUAUAGUUUUUCCUUUAUGUGUUACUGCUUUAUAAACUAUCAUCAUUUGCAUAACCAUGGGUCUUCUUUCUACAAUAAGUCUCGGAGUACGCGUCGCAUGCAUGAACUCUUUGUUGAGUCACCCUUAAUUUAGGAGGGGGCCCGUCGGACGUAUGGAGUGGGUGGAAAGCUUGAGCAGCCACUAUCGACCACACGCUCCCCCGAAUUGCCUUGUUAGUGAACCCCAAACUUAGAUCAGCCUUUAGGUCAUUUUGUUCGAAUCAUGUCAUUCGCACCUAGUAGGAAUCGGUCCCAGGUACCGUGUCCCUUUGUAAGGAGCCUGUUUAAAUUUUGUCAAAAUGGGCCCGUAGCCCAAAAUGACAUUUAAUCAUCCUAUGUGCUAAAUGUUGCAUCUUUGAGGGUAAAAAAGUCAUUUGACGGACCACUGUUUGGGAAAGAAGGGUAAAAAAUGAAGAAAGUAGGGCCCACCCGCAUUUUUCUUUCAUGGUUCUCCAAAAAUAAAAAUAAAAAGAUGAAAAUGAGAAAAUCCAAAAAGAUUUUACACUCUUUCAUUAUUUUUCAAAAUUCAAAAAAAGUAGAAAGUGAAAACCCAAAAAAGCUUUUAUACUUUUCCAUUAUUUUCCAAAAACUCGGUCCCAGGUAUCGUGUCCCUUUGUAGGAAGGCUAUCCAAAUUUUGUCAAAAAUGAGUCCGUGGCCCAAAAUGAUAUGUAACCAUCCUAUGUGCUAAAUGUUUCAUCUUUGAGGGUAAAAAGGUCAUUUGACGAAUCGAUGCUUGGAAAAUAAGUGUAAAAAUGAAGCAAGUAGGGCUCACUUACAUUUUUCUUUCAUACUUUUCCAAAAACAAAAAAAUCAAAAAUCAAAAAAGUUUUUACAAUUUCCUAUCAAUUUUCAAAAAUAAAAAAAAUUCUAUUUUUUUAUACACUUUCCCAUCAUUUUCCAAAAAUGAAACAAAGGAAAAGAAAAUCCAAAAAGAUUUUGCACUUUCCCAUUAUUUUUCAAAACUUCUAAAAAAAUAAAAAAAAUCCGAAAAGAUUUUACAUAUUUUCCAUCAUUUUCCAAAAAUUCAAAAAGAAGUUGAAAAAUAAAAUCCAAAAAGAUUUUACAGUUUUCAUCAUUUCUCAAAAACACAAAAAAUAUGGUUUUUUUCAAACUAGUUUCAUUUUUUUAAAGGCGACUUUCUCCCAUGUCCAAUCUUUCCGAACUACGCGAACCUGAUUCUCGUCUUUCGAGACGUGAUACGUAGAUAACCCACAUAUGUAGAUAACCCACAUAGGUCUUAGUCAAACUUUUCAUGCCCGGCCACUUUUGGCCACAUCGACCAUUCUUGCCAAAUGGGGUCAUUUUCACAAAAGUGGUUCAAUUACCCACGUAUUAGUAUCUUGAGUCCACAACUAGCUUUCAUAUUUCUUUAAGGUCCUUCCAUUUUUAGUUACAUCUUUAGCCACUUUUGGCCAUAUUGUCCGUUUUUGCAAAAUAGAUCAUUUCUGUCAAUUAAUCUUGGGCCAUAAUUAUUGGGAGUUUGAUUUCAUAUAAGUAUUAGUGAGGUAUUUUUUCAUGUCUUUGAGGUCAUCUUUGUUGAUUUUGCGCUAGUCGCCACGUAGGUCAUUUUACAAAAAUAGCCUUAAUCAUGCCUUACACAUUUCCAAUAAAAGGUGUCGUGGCGUCACAUGUGUCUUGACUCACUAACUCUAUUUGAUCUUAUUUUUACCAUUCAGGUAUGGAGCAAUUUGCUAGAGUUUGAGCAUGACAAAUACCCCAAAAACAUUCUAGUCAAGACCAUUGCAUGCACGAGCUGCUUGAGGAAGCUUUUUAUUUUUUUUAGUCUAUCUUAUGUUGUCUUUUAAUUUUUAGCAGUAUCGAAUCUUUCAGUUUAGUUAAAUUGUCGAGCCUUUUUUAAUAGUACUUCCUGUUUUGUAUUUGAAAAUCCAAAAAAAGUUAUAAAUGAA